UUUUGACGCAUUUGAGGCUUGAAAUCAAGAUUGAAGCAUCAUCUAAUGGAUUCAACACGCACCAAAGCACAAAACUCAGGUAACCACCGAUUUAAAUUCGUUUUUUCUUGCUAUCAUAGGCUCUGUUUUUCGCAGGUGUUCUGACAGUAACCCUUCGGGGAAUAUAAACCGAAGUCAAGUUAUGUGACCUUCGGUUUAUACGAACCGAAAUGUUGAUCCUCUGCGUUAGGCUUAGGCUUGGCUUGACUUGACUUCAUAUUGACUUAUAAACUGUACUUCAUAUGGACUUGGCUUUAUUUUGGCUUCAUAUUGACUUCAUAGUGUCCUAUGUGUUUAAUUAGUGUUGUAAUAGGAUUGUAAAUAUUAUGUGUGGUUGAUUGAUUGUUUUUUCAUUUGCGUAUGCUAUAGUUACGGAAGGCGAAAUUAACGAAGUUGUCGAAGUUAGGCGACCUGUUGUGCUUGGCCUUUUUGCAACGGCCAUUGUUCCAUCUGGUCAACCAAGAAGUCCUCCUAAUGUGCCGCAACCGAUAGAAAUUGACACAUCGUCUCAUUUUGCGACUGAUAGGGAAGAGAACGACAGAGAUGAGUUG
This 590-nucleotide long non-coding RNA is filed under the name Trifolium pratense (red clover). RNAcentral's name for it is "long non-coding RNA (TPRA_LNC014311)". The record is from RNAcentral. Lineage: Eukaryota; Viridiplantae; Streptophyta; Magnoliopsida; Fabales; Fabaceae.